GACGAACGCUGGCGGCGUGCUUAACACAUGCAAGUCGAACGGAAAGGCCCUGCUUUUGUGGUGUGCUCGAGUGGCGAACGGGUGAGUAACACGUGAGUAACCUGCCCUUGACUUUGGGAUAACUUCAGGAAACUGGGGCUAAUACCGGAUAGGAGCUCCUGCUGCAUGGUGGGGGUUGGAAAGUUUCGGCGGUUGGGGAUGGAUUCGCGGCUUAUCAGCUUGUUGGUGGGGUAGUGGCUUACCAAGGCUUUGGCGGGUAGCCGGCCGGAGAGGGUGACCGGCCACAUUGGGCCUGAGAUACGGCCCAGACUCCUACGGGAGGCAGCAGUGGGGAAUAUUGCACAAUGGGCGGAAGCCUGAUGCAGCAACGCCGCGUGCGGGAUGACGGCCUUCGGGUUGUAAACCGCUUUCGCCUGUGACGAAGCGUGAGUGACGGUAAUGGGUAAAGAAGCACCGGCUAACUACGUG
Molecule: ribosomal RNA, 468 nt
Filed under: uncultured bacterium
Lineage: Bacteria
Description: partial 16S ribosomal RNA
Rfam family: Bacterial small subunit ribosomal RNA
Source: RNAcentral